UGGGGACGCUGAAGUGCGAUGGGGACGCUGAAGUGCGAUGGUCACGCUGAAGUGCGAUGGUCCACGCCGAAGUACGAUGGUCCUGUAGCUGUAGUGCGAUGGUUUGGCUUGACGUUCGAAUAUUGUGACGUUUUAUAAUUUAACAACAUUGAUUUGCAAGCAGGAUGAUAUGAUUUUGUAGAUGAAGGUUUCAUGCUCACAAAAGAAAUGAAAGGAAAAAGAAAAAACCGAACGAUUUAAGUCGCAAAAUGAUUUGAGCAUAACAUGUCGAUGUUACAAAAAUAUUUGUAACCAUGUCAGGCAACAAAAUAAGGGGAGCAACGGGGCUGAAAGAUGAAUUUGGUCAGCGAAUGGGUUAUCCUAUGUUCGGAAUAAUGUCGC
RNAcentral lists this long non-coding RNA (381 nucleotides) under Mytilus galloprovincialis (Mediterranean mussel). Lineage: Eukaryota; Metazoa; Mollusca; Bivalvia; Mytilida; Mytilidae. The record is from RNAcentral.